Cebus imitator (Panamanian white-faced capuchin) is the source of this 917-nucleotide RNA transcript. It is a transcript of the gene named Golgi SNAP receptor complex member 2-like, with no coding region annotated. The record is from RefSeq and is a predicted model, not a curated record. The transcript has a single exon. NCBI's taxonomy places the organism in Eukaryota, Metazoa, Chordata, Mammalia, Primates, Cebidae.
GCCGGCCACAACCGUGGCCUGUGGGGCCAGCGACAUGGACCCCCUGUACCAGCAAACGCACAAGCAGGUCCAUGAGAUCCAGUCUUGCAUGGGACGCCUGGAGACUGCAGACAAGCAGUCUGUGCACUUAGUAGAAAACGAAAUCCAAGCAAGCAUAGACCAGACAUUCAGCCAUCUAGAACACUCGGAAAUUUUGUCCAGCAAGGAGCCCCCUAACCAAAGGCAGAAUGCCAAACUUUGGGUUGGCCAGUUAAAGUACGAUGUCUAGCACCUACAGACUGCUCUCAGAAACUUCCAGCAUCAGCACCAUGCAAGGGAACAGCAGGAGAGACCGCGAGAAGAGCUUCUGUCUUGAACCUUCACCACUAACGACUCUGACACCGCCAUAUCAGUGGACGAAUCACUGCAGCUUAACUCCUCCCUCCAGAAAAUUCACCACGGCAUGGAUGACCUCAUUUUAGAUGGGCACAAUAUUUUAGAUGGACUGAGGACCCAGAGGCUGACCUUGAAGGGGACUCAGAAGAAGAUCCUUGACAUUGCCAACAUGACGGGCUUGUCCAGCUUAGUGAUGUGGCUCAUCAAGAAGCGGGCUUUCCAGGACAAGUACUUCAUGAUCGGCGGGAUGCUGGUGACCCUUAUGGUCAUGUUCCUUGUGGUGCAUUACCUGACAUGAGCCAGCCACGCUCAGCGGCUGAACAGCAUUCCCACAGCAUGCGAGUGUGUGUGAGUGUGUGCGCUUGAAAGAGAGAGGGGACCCAGAGGCUGCCUUUUGAAAUGUGUGCCUGUCUUAACUGUGAAGACACUCAGGGGUGAUUGUGAUCUAGUUUCCAACCUGCUCUGUUUUCUGUGACGUCUUGGAGGAGGAGCUAGUGCCACCUCCAUGUGAGGUGCUUAGGGAAUGGAAGAAGUCCCAGUUC